GGGGCUGUAGCUCAGUGGCAGAGUGCUUGCCUAGCAUGCAUGAGGCACUGGAUUUGAUCCUCAGCACAUCAUAAAAAUAAAUAAAUAAGGGAUCUGUGUUGUGGCUCAGUGGUAGAGUGCUUGGCUAGCAUGUGUGACUGAGUUCAAUCCUCAACACCUCA
RNAcentral lists this transfer RNA (161 nucleotides) under Marmota monax (woodchuck). RNAcentral's name for it is "tRNA.Ala". The record is from RNAcentral. Lineage: Eukaryota; Metazoa; Chordata; Mammalia; Rodentia; Sciuridae.